UACAGAGGGUGCAAGCGUUAAUCGGAAUUACUGGGCGUAAAGCGUGCGUAGACGGUUGCGUAAGUCAGAUGUGAAAAGCCCCCGGGCUCAACCUGGGAAUUGCAUUUGAGACUGCGUAGCUAGGGUGCGGAAGAGGGAAGCGGAAUUUCCGGUGUAGCGGUGAAAUGCGUAGAUAUCGGAAGGAACACCAGUGGCGAAAAGCGGCUUCCUGGUCCAGCACCGACGUUCAGGCACGAAAGCGUGGGGAGCAAACAGGAUUGAGAAAC
Molecule: ribosomal RNA, 266 nt
Filed under: uncultured bacterium
Lineage: Bacteria
Description: partial 16S ribosomal RNA
Rfam family: Bacterial small subunit ribosomal RNA
Source: RNAcentral